CUACGGGGUGCUGCAGUGGGGAAUCUUCCGCAAUGGGCGAAAGCCUGACGGAGCAACGCCGCGUGAGUGAAGAAGGCCUUCGGGUCGUAAAGCUCUGUCUUUAGGGACGAACCGUACGGGGAGUAAUAUGCCCUGUGCCUGACGGUACCUGAGGAGGAAGCUCCGGCUAACUACGUGCCAGCAGCCGCGGUAAUACGUAGGGAGCGAGCGUUGUCCGGAAUUACUGGGCGUAAAGGGCGCGUAGGCGGGGGUUUAAGUAAGGUGUGAAAACUAUAGGCUCAACCUGUAGACUGCACUUUAAACUGGAUCUCUUGAGGGCAGGAGAGGAAAGUGGAAUUCCUAGUGUAGCGGUGAAAUGCGUAGAUAUUAGGAGGAACACCAGUGGCGAAGGCGACUUUCUGGACUGUACCUGACGCUGAGGCGCGAAAGCGUGGGGAGCGAACAGGAUUAGAUACCCCGGUAGUC
RNAcentral lists this ribosomal RNA (465 nucleotides) under uncultured bacterium. RNAcentral describes it as "partial 16S ribosomal RNA". It matches the Rfam family "Bacterial small subunit ribosomal RNA", at positions 339 to 795 of the family's 1533-position model. The record is from RNAcentral.